Molecule: ribosomal RNA, 465 nt
Filed under: Vreelandella stevensii
Lineage: Bacteria; Pseudomonadati; Pseudomonadota; Gammaproteobacteria; Oceanospirillales; Halomonadaceae
Description: partial 16S ribosomal RNA
Rfam family: Bacterial small subunit ribosomal RNA
Source: RNAcentral
CCUACGGGAGGCUGCAGUGGGGAAUAUUGGACAAUGGGCGAAAGCCUGAUCCAGCCAUGCCGCGUGUGUGAAGAAGGCCUUCGGGUUGUAAAGCACUUUUAGUGGGGAAGAAAGCCUUGGGGCUAAUACCCUCGAGGAAGGACAUCACCCACAGAAGAAGCACCGGCUAACUCCGUGCCAGCAGCCGCGGUAAUACGGAGGGUGCGAGCGUUAAUCGGAAUUACUGGGCGUAAAGCGCGCGUAGGCGGUCUGAUAAGCCGGUUGUGAAAGCCCCGGGCUCAACCUGGGAACGGCAUCCGGAACUGUCAGGCUAGAGUGCAGGAGAGGAAGGUAGAAUUCCCGGUGUAGCGGUGAAAUGCGUAGAGAUCGGGAGGAAUACCAGUGGCGAAGGCGGCCUUCUGGACUGACACUGACGCUGAGGUGCGAAAGCGUGGGUAGCAAACAGGAUUAGAUACCCGAGUAGUC